Phyllopteryx taeniolatus (common seadragon) is the source of this 1061-nucleotide long non-coding RNA. RefSeq lists it as uncharacterized. The record is from RefSeq and is a predicted model, not a curated record. The transcript is spliced from 3 exons. Lineage: Eukaryota; Metazoa; Chordata; Actinopteri; Syngnathiformes; Syngnathidae.
GAAAUCUGAGAAGAAGACGAAGCGGCCCGUCAAAGACUCCGAGCGCUUAGACUUGGAUAUAUUUUACAUAGUUUACUGUCAAGCAAACACUUUUGACUAAUUGACCGCCCGUGUUGUUUCCUGUACAAUCGUCCCUUGAAAUUCGAAAGACUCGAAUUCGGACUUUUCAAGAUUCGAGAUGUUGGCGGAUGCCCUCUUUUUUUUUUUUUUUUUUUUUGACUUGUGAGCGCUGACUUGAGAUGCGAGCGCCGAAUGGUGGCAGUGAACUCAACUCACUUCCCAAAAUCAGCACUUUGCCAAACAGUGAACGAUUCUUUUAAAAAAAAAAAAAAAAAAAAAAAGCCUUCAAGGUGUUUUUGGCCGCGCCCACUUGAAGUUCACGCAAAAAUUAAACAUUAAACCAAGAAUUACACCUUGUACAUUUACAAGCAGAGGCACGCGUUACAUUGACACAAGUAACAUUUUGCAUAAAUUGUACUUGUCACAAUAGAUGUAAUGCAUCAUACUUUUAACUUUUACUGGAGUAUUUGUAUGAAGAAGAAACGCAGGAACUUGCGUCUCAGCCAAACUUUUGACCUUGCGCGUAUGGCAACAUUCGCCCUAUUUUCUGCUGAUAAGUAGGUACACAGAUACUUCAAAUGACUUUGACUCAAGUAGCAUUCUAAAAGUUGACUUUAGUGUCUCGCAAAGUGAUUUAGUGUUAAGAUACUUGUACUUCUCCUCAAGUAUUGCUUUCACUGACCUACCUUCACCAUGUGUUGCACCGUCGCUGCCGCCGAGGAAGAGCACGAGGAAGAGGAGCGCCUUCAUCUUGCAGGCUCGAAGCUUCUGCUCCACUGCUCCAGACGCUCAACUGCAGCAGCUGACCCCGGGCCAAUCACGGUGCAGAGAAUUGCUGGUGUCAUCGGUGAGAAACAACACGUUGACGCCGUGCACGCACGCCAACAGGAAGUGAAGGAUCCCGUCGUCGCACUCCUGCAAGAAGGAAGCGGGAAGCAUCUUACUGACGAGCGGCCAGUCACCGUCAUUCAGUGAGCGUUGGGGCGUGACCGGACCUGGCU